AAGGCCUUAAGUUAAAAUAAACUAAUAACCUUCAAAGUUAUAAUUAAAAGACAGGCUUUUAGGCCUUA
This 68-nucleotide transfer RNA is filed under the name Phlaeoba infumata. Its description in RNAcentral is "tRNA-Trp". RNAcentral also lists the same sequence under 1 other name. Lineage: Eukaryota; Metazoa; Arthropoda; Insecta; Orthoptera; Acrididae. The record is from RNAcentral.